UGUUGAAAAUUUCAUCCAUUUGUACUAUUAAAACCUAGCGUCGUUGAUAGAAUAACCAAACAAUGACAUGUGGCAUGUUAUGUGUAUUUCAUACUGAUGCACAACGACUAUUUUUUAACAAUAGAAAUGGAUGGAAUAGGAUGACUA
RNAcentral lists this microRNA precursor (147 nucleotides) under Gossypium arboreum. RNAcentral's name for it is "MIR7502 microRNA precursor family". It matches the Rfam family "MIR7502 microRNA precursor family". Lineage: Eukaryota; Viridiplantae; Streptophyta; Magnoliopsida; Malvales; Malvaceae. The record is from Rfam by way of RNAcentral.